UAAUGAGGAGGUGCUCCUGAGUGCGGAUUAUAGCAUCAAGAUGGUAAGUCCUACCACCUUUGCUCGAAAUAUGCUCUUUGUGCCUUCGGGCUAGCUGAUCGGCCAACCAUUCAAGCAAGCUCCAGAAUUCGAGCUUUACAGGCUUGAUUGGCAUCUACGCUUACACAGCCACAAGCAACUGAAAAAUGUUUGAGGCCGAGUAUUGAGAAGAGAUCGCUAGAGAUGGCUGAGCCUUAGCAGAGAUGGAGCGAAGCCUCUCCAACGAAGCCCGUAAGAAUCUCCAAAGACAACUCAAUAGUUCCAUUAUCAAAAAUGAGAACCUAAAGAAGAUCUUGGGGACUAACCAAUGGGAGGUUAAGAAGUUGAGGAAGGAUGGUUCUUGAUCAUCUGAGGUACUUCAUCCUUUUUCCC
This 411-nucleotide long non-coding RNA is filed under the name Elaeis guineensis (African oil palm). Its description in RNAcentral is "long non-coding RNA (EGUI_LNC044998)". The record is from RNAcentral. Lineage: Eukaryota; Viridiplantae; Streptophyta; Magnoliopsida; Arecales; Arecaceae.